UCGGGAAUUUUGGGCAAUGGGGGAAACCCUGACCCAGCAACGCCGCGUGAAGGAUGAAGUAUUUCGGUAUGUAAACUUCGAAAGAAUAGGAAGAAUAAAUGACGGUACUAUUUAUAAGGUCCGGCUAACUACGUUUUUGCCAGCAGCCGCGGUAAUACGUAGGGACCAAGCGUUGUUCGGAUUUACUGGGCGUAAAGCGUGCGCAGGCGGUUUUGUAAGACAGACGUGAAAGCCCCGGGCUUAACCUGGGAACGGCGUUUGUGACUGCAAGACUAGAGUAUGGCAGAGGGGGGUAGAAUUCCACGUGUAGCAGUGAAAUGCGUAGAGAUGUGGAGGAAUACCGAUGGCGAAGGCAGCCCCCUGGGUCAAUACUGACGCUCAUGCACGAAAGCGUGGGGAGCAAACAGGAUUAGAUACCCACGUAGUCCCUGAGCGGGCUGGCAAGGCG
This 448-nucleotide ribosomal RNA is filed under the name uncultured bacterium. Its description in RNAcentral is "bacterial SSU rRNA". It matches the Rfam family "Bacterial small subunit ribosomal RNA", at positions 355 to 822 of the family's 1533-position model. The record is from RNAcentral.